AAAUAAUAAUGUUCGUUAUCUCGUAUAUGAUUGGAAAUACGGUCCAAUUGUUUCUACCGAACGGCCUUAAACUGUUUGACUACGCGUGUUUAUUGUUAUAUG
Molecule: non-coding RNA, 102 nt
Filed under: Clostridium botulinum
Lineage: Bacteria; Bacillati; Bacillota; Clostridia; Eubacteriales; Clostridiaceae
Description: Guanine sequence
Rfam family: Purine riboswitch aptamer
About the family: Riboswitches are metabolite binding domains within certain messenger RNAs that serve as precision sensors for their corresponding targets.
Source: RNAcentral